RNAcentral lists this ribosomal RNA (438 nucleotides) under uncultured Kocuria sp. RNAcentral describes it as "bacterial SSU rRNA". It matches the Rfam family "Bacterial small subunit ribosomal RNA", at positions 354 to 796 of the family's 1533-position model. Lineage: Bacteria; Bacillati; Actinomycetota; Actinomycetes; Micrococcales; Micrococcaceae. The record is from RNAcentral.
GUGGGGAAUAUUGCACAAUGGGCGCAAGCCUGAUGCAGCGACGCCGCGUGGGGGAUGACGGCCUUCGGGUUGUAAACUCCUUUCGCUAUCGACGAAGCCACCUUGGGUGGUGACGGUAGGUAGAUAAGAAGCACCGGCUAACUACGUGCCAGCAGCCGCGGUAAUACGUAGGGUGCAAGCGUUGUCCGGAAUUACUGGGCGUAAAGAGCUCGUAGGUGGUUUGUCGCGUCGUCUGUGAAAUCCCGGGGCUUAACUUCGGGCGUGCAGGCGAUACGGGCAUAACUUGAGUGCUGUAGGGGAGACUGGAAUUCCUGGUGUAGCGGUGAAAUGCGCAGAUAUCAGGAGGAACACCGAUGGCGAAGGCAGGUCUCUGGGCAGUAACUGACGCUGAGGAGCGAAAGCAUGGGUAGCGAACAGGAUUAGAAACCCCAGUAGUCC